Molecule: ribosomal RNA, 434 nt
Filed under: uncultured bacterium
Lineage: Bacteria
Description: partial 16S ribosomal RNA
Rfam family: Bacterial small subunit ribosomal RNA
Source: RNAcentral
AACGAACGCUGGCGGCAUGCCUAACACAUGCAAGUCGAACGAUUGCCUUCGGGUGAUAGUGGCGCACGGGUGCGUAACGCGUGGGAAUCUGCCCUUAGGUUCGGAAUAACAGCUGGAAACGGCUGCUAAUACCGGAUGAUAUCGCGAGAUCAAAGAUUUAUCGCCUGAGGAUGAGCCCGCGUUGGAUUAGGUAGUUGGUGGGGUAAAGGCCUACCAAGCCGACGAUCCAUAGCUGGUCUGAGAGGAUGAUCAGCCACACUGGGACUGAGACACGGCCCAGACUCCUACGGGAGGCAGCAGUGGGGAAUAUUGGACAAUGGGCGCAAGCCUGAUCCAGCAAUGCCGCGUGAGUGAUGAAGGCCCUAGGGUUGUAAAGCUCUUUUACCCGGGAAGAUAAUGACUGGACCGGGAGAAUAAGCCCCGGCGAACUCCGU